CCCUUACGCAUUGGGGAGUAGCCUCCCUUCCAGAGAGAAGGGGGAUGCGUCAACAUCCUUGGGUCCUGGACCCAUGGCGCAUCCGGCGAUUGCUUGGCCAGACCUUUGACGUCGAUCGCUUCACCAAGGGGGCUUGGGCGGGGGGUCGUCGUCAUUCGUCGUGACCGCCCAGCCCCC
RNAcentral lists this small RNA (177 nucleotides) under Pararhodospirillum photometricum. RNAcentral's name for it is "Rhodospirillum photometricum Manganese sequence". It matches the Rfam family "Manganese Mn2+ riboswitch aptamer (yybP-ykoY)". From Rfam's summary of the family: This RNA was originally discovered in E. coli during a large scale screen and was named SraF. The family was later found to exist upstream of related families of protein genes in many bacteria, including the the yybP and ykoK genes in B. subtilis. Lineage: Bacteria; Pseudomonadati; Pseudomonadota; Alphaproteobacteria; Rhodospirillales; Rhodospirillaceae. The record is from RNAcentral.